This 292-nucleotide ribosomal RNA is filed under the name uncultured bacterium. RNAcentral describes it as "partial 16S ribosomal RNA". It matches the Rfam family "Bacterial small subunit ribosomal RNA", at positions 505 to 796 of the family's 1533-position model. The record is from RNAcentral.
GUGUCAGCAGCCGCGGUAAUACGGAGGGUGCAAGCGUUAAUCGGAAUUACUGGGCGUAAAGGGUGCGUAGGCGGUUAGAUAAGUUAAGUGUGAAAGUUCUGGGCUUAACCUGGGGAAGUCACUUAAGACUGUCUGACUGGAGUAUGGGAGAGGGUAGUGGAAUUUCCGGUGUAGCGGUGAAAUGCGUAGAGAUCGGAAGGAACACCAGUGGCGAAGGCGGCUACCUGGCCCAAUACUGACGCUGAGGCACGAAAGCGUGGGGAGCAAACAGGAUUAGAUACCCCAGUAGUCC